Molecule: ribosomal RNA, 253 nt
Filed under: uncultured bacterium
Lineage: Bacteria
Description: partial 16S ribosomal RNA
Rfam family: Bacterial small subunit ribosomal RNA
Source: RNAcentral
UACGGGGGGGGCAAGCGUUGUUCGGAAUUACUGGGCGUAAAGGGCUCGUAGGCGGCCAACUAAGUCAGACGUGAAAUCCCUCGGCUUAACCGGGGAACUGCGUCUGAUACUGGAUGGCUAGAGGUUGGGAGAGGGAUGCGGAAUUCCAAGUGUAGCGGUGAAAUGCGUAGAUAUCUGGAGGAACACCGGUGGCGAAGGCGGCAUCCUGGACCAAUGCUGACGCUGAGGAGCGAAAGCCAGGGGAGCAAACGGG